Molecule: ribosomal RNA, 1381 nt
Filed under: Zygaena sarpedon lusitanica
Lineage: Eukaryota; Metazoa; Arthropoda; Insecta; Lepidoptera; Zygaenidae
Description: 16S ribosomal RNA
Rfam family: Eukaryotic large subunit ribosomal RNA (bases 1095-1253)
Source: RNAcentral
UUAAGGUAAUAAUUAAUUAAUAAAUUUAUUAAUAAAAGAAUUUUUAUUUAAAAUUUGUAUAAAUUAGUUUUAGUAUAUUUUAUAGAAAAAAUUUUAAAAUUUAUAAUGAAUAAGUAUUGUGAAAGAAAUUUGAAAUAAUUGAAAAUUUAUUUUAAAAAAAGUAAUUUUAAUUUAUUGUAUCUUGUGUAUCAGAGUUUAUUAAUAAAAAUUUUUAAAUAAAAAUUUCUCGAAUUAAAAAGAGUUAUUAAAUUAUAAAAGUUAUUGUUUCAUAAAUAUUUUUAAUAAUUUAAUUGAAAUGAAAUGUUAAUCGUUUUUUAAGAUAUCUAGUUUUUUUAGAAAAAAAUUUAAUUUUAAAUUUUAAAUAUAAAAUAAUUUUUUAGAUAAUUAUUUAAUUUAAAAUUUUAAUAUUUUAAGGGAUAAGCUUUAAAAUAAAUUUUUAUAAGAAUUUUAAAUUUAUUAAGAAUUUUAUAAUUUAUAUUGUUAAAUAAAUUUUAAUUUAUUAUAAAUAAUUUUAUUGAAAUAAAAAUUUAAUUAUAAUUCUUUAAUUUUUUAUAAAAAAUUAAUAUUUAAUAAUAUAAUUUUUAAUUAUAAUGAUAAAAUUAGUAUAUAAAAAUUAUUUAAUUUAAAAUAUUAUAUUUAUGUUAAAUUAAUUAAAAAGAAUUCGGCAAAUUUAAUUAAAUUAUAUUCACCUGUUUAUCAAAAACAUGUCUUUUUGUUAAUAAUUUAAAGUCUAAUCUGCCCACUGAUUUAUUAUUAAAGGGCUGCAGUAUUUUGACUGUACAAAGGUAGCAUAAUCAUUAGUCUCUUAAUUGGUGACUUGUAUGAAUGAUUGAAUGAAAUAUAAUCUGUUUCUUAAUUAUUUAUAAAAUUUAAUUUUUUUAUCAAAAAGUAAAAAUAAAUUUAAAAGACGAGAAGACCCCAUAGAGUUUAAUAUAAGAAUUAAUUUAAAAUUAUAUUUAAUGAAAUUAAUUAAAAUUAUUUUUUGUAUUUUAUUGGGGUGAUAAAAAAAUUAGAAAAACUUUUUUAUUUUAAUUUCCAUAGAUAAAUGAAUUUAUGAUCCAUUAUUAUUGAUUAAAAGAAAAAAUUACCUUGGGGAUAACAGCGUAAUUUUUUCUUCUAGUUCAUAUAGGAGAAAGAGUUUGCGACCUCGAUGUUGGAUUAAGAUAAAAUUUAAAUGCAAAAGUUUAAAAUUUUGAUCUGUUCGAUCAUUAAAAUCUUACAUGAUCUGAGUUCAAACCGGUGUAAGCCAGGUUGGUUUCUAUCUUUAAAUAAAUAAAAUAUUUUAGUACGAAAGGAUCGAAUAUUUAAAAUAAUUUUUAUUUUUAGAAUUUUAUUAAUUUUAAUUUAAAAUUGAAAAAUUUUUAAUUUUGUAAUAUUAUAU